GGCUGGGGUACUUCUCUGCUCCGACCGGGCUGGUGUAUUUCUCUGCUCUGACCGGGCUGUUCUGAUGGGAUUUCUCUGAUCUGAUAUGUAUUUUUCUGCUCUGACGGGUGCUCUGCCGGGUGUUUCUCUGCUCUGACGGGUGCUCUGCCGGGUGCUCUGACGGGUGUUUCUCUGCUCUGAAAGGGCAUUUCUCUGCUCUGACCGGGCUUCUCUGAGGGACAUUUCUCUGCUCUGAAAGGGCAUUCCUCUGCCUUGACCGGGCUGCUCUGAGGGUAUUUCUCUGAUCUAAUAGGCAUUUCUCUGCUCUACUCUACGGGCUACACUAUUUUGCGCCUCUGCUCUAUGGGCUGCUUUGAUCUAUUUUAAUCGCUACUCAGCGAGAAAUAAGUCGCCUUUUGGCAUGCUAUUGCUAUCUAUGGGUCUUCUCACGCGCUGGAUUUCUUACGCGCUCAACAACAGGGGGUAUAUUGUUCAGACUCGACAAAUAUUUAUGACGGGUUUUCUCACAUGAUCAGAGUAUCAUAUUUCUCAACUUCGACACGGGUCUUCCUAUGUUAUUCGGGUAUUCUUGCAGCGGUCUUCUGGUUUAUCUAACACAAAGCAUUCAUAUUGCUUAUCUAUGCAAAGUAUUCAAUAUGGGGUAUUCUCAGCGCUGGUUUUCUUAUGCGCCCAAAGAAAUGGAAAUUAUUUAUCUUUGUUAACAUUCAACAAACAAGAAGGAAAUCUAACUUGGAACUACAAUUCCAAAGUCAAGGGAAAAAUGCUUAUCUUUGCUUUCUUAUAAUAUUAAAACUUUUAUGACUUCAUGAUUUGCAGGGACUAAGGAAAACAGCACAGCGCUGGCUUUAACGAUACUUCGCUGGUUGAACACGAAGAAUACCCGGUUCAACCAGACCAGAGGGGGGAGUGGUUGAUGAGGAGUGAUAUGUGCAUAGUAGGGAAAUGGUGUAAACCAGAGAAGUCAUCCUCGCCAGAGGAGUCGCAUCUGACAGAGAAGUCAUCCUCCCCAGAGGAGGCGUAUUUGCCAGAGAGGUCAUCCUCGCCAGAGGAGUCAUAUUUGCCAGAGAGGUCAUCCUCGCCAGAGGAGUCAUAUUUGCCAGAGAGGUCAUCCUCGCCAGAGGAGUCGUAUUUGCCAGAGAGGUCAUCCUCGCCAGAGGAGUCGUGCUUACCAGAGGAGUCACCUCCGCCAGAGACAUCAACAUCGCCAGAGAAGACGCCCUCGCCAGAGAAGACAUUUUCACCAGAGGAGUCACUAAAAGCGCGGGGAGGUCUCCCGCGUAAAACCGAAAUUACUAUCUUACCCUUCAAUGUAUUAAAGGGGCUUAAGCCCAAUUAUCUUAGGGAAUGGGCUUGAGGCCCUAAGGAUUUAUUUACAUGCUUAUAAAUAGAGACUUAGUAGUAGGUUAGGGGGGAUCAUCUCAUUUUUAUUCAUUCAUCUCUUGUAAAAUGUAUUUCUCUCGAAGUAUAGUGAAAAAACCCCAAAACACCCCGUGGACGUAGGUCUUCUCGACCGAACCACGUAAAUCCGUGUCGUUUACUGCUUUCUAGAUUAGGUGUUGGUUUCGUAAUUUACCACAAUAAAAUAAUCAUUUAAAUAAAUAGAAAAGAAUAGUGCUUACAGUCAUAAGUCUGGACCAUAGGACGUGAUCAACAAGACAAGAAUUAAGUAAUAUUCAUUUUAUAUAUAUUUAAUCUAAACUAGACUACGAGAGUGAAGUUAUCCAACUCCACUUUGGGUCAAAAAAACCAAAGAAAAGUGAGCCAUAAACGAUGUGACUCUUGGGGUCACUAAAGACCACCAACUGACAACUAAUGCAAACUUCAUAAAUACAUAUGAUAAAAAUGCAUAUAAUGUGGCAUUGGAUGAAUAAAUAAACUUUAUUAAAAAAAUAUAGGAUUAAAUACAAAAUACAAUCUCGCGGUUGUCCCUUCAUGCGACAAAAAUAACCCUAUGACAAUGUAAGUUGUGUUUAAUUCCCUAAGGUACCAAUUAGUAAAUAAACUCGUCCGGUGGCUAAACGGGCGUUUAAUUCCAUCGAAAAAAAUUUAUUUUUUAGUUUUAACUUUUAGGGCCUACUUACUGUUUAAUAGCGGUAGAACUUAAUUUUCACUUCACUCACUUCAACAGCUGACAAACCCUUCAUUUUGUUCUCUUUUUCUCCACCUGUCGAAGUUUGAAAAUCAAUCGGUGACUAGUGCCCAGUGACAUGCAAUGGCUGAAGAAGAUAAAUGAAAAGAAAGAUUAGUAAAAUGGAAGAGUUCAAUUGAUGGAUUCUCUGUAAUAACCCCACCUUAACUAUAUUAUUAUUUGCUAAUAUAUGAUUAAGUAGAAAUGUACAUUCUUAAUAAAUUAGAUAUAUUUGAUUAGUUUACAUCAAAGAUAGUUACAUGUAACAUUUGAAUUUGUUGAGUAUUUAAAGAGUUGAACUAUAUUACAAUUUGUAUCUAUGGCAUCCCAAUUAUUUUAAGAUGGACCAGAAUUUUAUUUUAGUAGGCCCAAAUAGUUUGAUUUAUUUAGCUAAGUUUUGAGCAACUUAAUAAACUCAGUAUUCAUUUAUUUGGGACUAAGAAUAGUGAAAAGGCCCAAUAAUUAUUAUUUAGGCUAGUUAUUACUUGGGCUUUUGUUAAUAUAUGAAAAAGGCCCGAAGCCCAACUUUAAGUAUUAAUCAGCCUUAUUUGCCCAACUUUUCAACAAAAAAAAAAUUAGAGUAUUUAGAUUUAUGAAAGCAGAUUAGCUAUUCAGCCAACACGUGGCUUCCAACCUUAUACUCAGCUGCUCUUAGACCGACUCAAACCAAUUUUAAAUGAGUUCCGGUAACUCUGUUUUCCCCAUUCUGCCAAUUCUAAACCACAUCAAGCACUCAUCUAUCAAACCAAUCAAUCAUCUACAAUCAAUCAUCCCCUAUUCACAACAAUUCAAUUCUUCAAGGAGGUAGUAUUUCUUUCAUACAAUCAAUUCCUUAUGUAUAUAACAAUAAAAAAAUAGAAUAGACAUUGCUACAACAGAUUGUACAAGCAUAGUUGCAACACGUCUCUAAUUCUAAUGUAGUAUGCUUCCAUACCAUCAAAUCUCAAUUUUCAGUAAUCGAAUAAGAAAACAGAUUAACUAGAAAAGAUAGAGUCUUGAGCGGUAGAUGGGCUGCCUUGCCGGAGUCGAAUCAACGAUUUCCUGAAAUAGGUGAAAAGUUAGAGACUGAUUAACUCAAGGUAUUAAAACCAAAAAUAGAAAAAAAGAACAAAAAGAGAAGAAGAAUUAUAACAGGGGAUGGGACGGCAGCACCAGCCGCGAGCCACCGCGGCAGAGGCACAACUGGCGGCAGCAACCGCCGGUGCUGCCCGCGCCACGGUGGUCUGCGGCGGUCGCCAGUAGAAAGCGAGAGAGAGAGAGAGAGAGAGAGAGAGAGAGAGAGAGUAGAGAGAAGAAUAAGAAACUAAGACACAACGAGAGAGAGACGGACAGACGAGAAUGCAGAGCGAGAUAGAGGGAGAGAGAGGAGAGCGGGGCAGUGGCCGCCGCAAGCAAGAGGGCAGAUGGGGAGAUCAAGAGGGUAGAGAGAGACAGAUAGAUCCUGAGAGAGAGAGAAAGAGAGUUACCUGAGACGGAAAAGGUAGCGGCGCAACGAGUUGGGAUGGCGACAGUGGCGGCGAGCCUCGUCGGAGGCUGAAUUUCNAAGGCAUUUCUCUGCUCUGAUCGGGCUGCUCUGAAGGCAUUUCUCUGCUCUGAAAAGGCAUUUCUCUGCUCUAAUCGGGCUGGGGUACUUCUCUGCUCCGACCGGGCUGGUGUAUUUCUCUGCUCUGACCGGGCUGCUCUGAGGGCAUUUCUCUGCUCUGAAAGGCAUUUCUCUGCUCUGACCGGGUGCUCUAAGGCAUUUCUCUGCUCUGACCGGGCUGCUCUGAGGGACAUUUCUCUGCUCUGAAAGGGCAUUUCUCUGCUCUGACCGAGCUGCUCUGAGGGACAUUUCUCUGCUCUGAAAGGACAUUUCUCUGUGCUAGUUUGCCUAUGCGCGGAUUAUCUAUUGGUCUUCUCGCGCGCUGGAUUCUUUACGCGCUCAACAACAGGGUAUAUUGUUCAGACUCGACAAAUAUUUAUGACAGGUUUUCUCACAUGAUCGGAGUAUCAUAUUUCUCAACUUCGACAUGGGUCUUCCUAUGUUAUUCGGGUAUUCUUGCAACGGUCUUCUGAUUCAUC
Molecule: long non-coding RNA, 4189 nt
Filed under: Salvia miltiorrhiza (redroot sage)
Lineage: Eukaryota; Viridiplantae; Streptophyta; Magnoliopsida; Lamiales; Lamiaceae
Description: long non-coding RNA (SMIL_LNC006501)
Source: RNAcentral